Molecule: ribosomal RNA, 292 nt
Filed under: uncultured bacterium
Lineage: Bacteria
Description: partial 16S ribosomal RNA
Rfam family: Bacterial small subunit ribosomal RNA
Source: RNAcentral
GUGCCAGCCGCCGCGGUAAUACGGGGGGGGCAAGCGUUGUUCGGAAUUACUGGGCGUAAAGGGCUCGUAGGCGGCCAACUAAGUCGGACGUGAAAUCCCUCGGCUUAACCGGGGAAUGGCGUCCGAUACUGGAUGGCUGGAGUAUGGGAGAGGGAUGCGGAAUUCCAGGUGUAGCGGUGAAAUGCGUAGAUAUCUGGAGGAACACCGGUGGCGAAGGCGGCAUCCUGGACCAUGACUGACGCUGAGGAGCGAAAGCCAGGGGAGCAAACGGGAUUAGAUACCCGUGUAGUCC